GGACCCGUGGCUCAGUUGGUUAGAGCGCCUCGUUUACAUCGAGGAGGUCAUAGGUUCGAGUCCUAUCGGGUCCA
Molecule: transfer RNA, 74 nt
Filed under: Candidatus Roizmanbacteria bacterium
Lineage: Bacteria; Candidatus Roizmaniibacteriota
Description: tRNA-Val
Rfam family: tRNA
About the family: Transfer RNA (tRNA) molecules are approximately 80 nucleotides in length.
Source: RNAcentral